Carlito syrichta (Philippine tarsier) is the source of this 590-nucleotide long non-coding RNA. RefSeq lists it as uncharacterized. The transcript has 3 exons. Lineage: Eukaryota; Metazoa; Chordata; Mammalia; Primates; Tarsiidae. The record is from RefSeq and is a predicted model, not a curated record.
UGAGACAGGUUGGAAUUACCCCAGCAUGCAUGGCCACCUUUUCAGAGGUUGAGUGAUACACUGCUAAAACUUCAUCAGCAUCCUCAGAGGUCAGAAGUUGGGCCACAGCAUGACUGGGUCCUCCGCUCAAGGUCUCAUCAGGCUGAAAUCAAGGUGUGGGCCAGGCCUUCUCAUCUGGAGCUGAUACUCUUCUUCCAAGCACAUUCAGGACAGAAGUUUGGGCUAGGCUCAGCUGGACAGUUCUUCUGCUGCUUGUAUGUGAAGUCAUUCACGCAACUACAGCACCAGUAUCCUGAGGCUCAAGUGGAACUGCGUGAUCUAAGAGGGCCUCAUUCACAUGCCUGGCAAUUGGUGCUGGCUGUUGACUGGAGCAGCUCAAACUUCACCUGUUGGCUUCUGCUGUCUCAGAGCAGUAGGAGAGUGAGAGUAAAGCUUCAUCUGGAGUCCCAGACUUAGCGGUUGUAUGGCAUUACUUCCAUUGCAUUUGACUAGUAAAAGCAAGUCACAUGGCCAGACCACAUUCAAGAGGAGGUGGAAAUAACCUCUAGUUCUUGAUGGAAGAAACAACAUUGAUAAUAUUAAAUGCUAGU